Podarcis muralis (Common wall lizard) is the source of this 333-nucleotide non-coding RNA. NCBI's taxonomy places the organism in Eukaryota, Metazoa, Chordata, Lepidosauria, Squamata, Lacertidae. The record is from RefSeq and is a predicted model, not a curated record.
UGCAAGCAACUGGCAGCCAAGCACGAUACAAGUGGAAUUAUGAGGGCAUAUGCCAAACCCAAACUUUUCUGCAUUCUCUUAUUUGUAGAGUUACUGUUUCCUGAGUGGCUUCCAGGUUUAUGUUAAGCUGUUGCUGUCCAACCUAACCAUAGAUAGAAUUUUGUCGACUGCCUAGAAAACCCUGGUGUAAAGCUGCUGCACCCUGGUGGGUCAAUAUCAACAUUGAGCUACCCACUAUGACUCCAAGGUCUUGUUCCUGGUUGUUCAUUGUCAGCUCCUGAGUCACCUCUGUUGCUGGCAACAGGCCAAAAGGAAAGACGUCCCACCAACGCA